Molecule: unclassified non-coding RNA, 1658 nt
Filed under: Leishmania donovani
Lineage: Eukaryota; Euglenozoa; Kinetoplastea; Trypanosomatida; Trypanosomatidae
Description: gene:LdHU3.18.0700(CDS-product:vacuolar_ATP_synth ase_subunit_c_putative)
Source: RNAcentral
GCCUACACAGGCAGAAUAAUCUCCCUUCGAGAGAUGACCGAGAGUUUUGUAAUUCUUGCGCUGCCAUACUUGCAGCAGUCGCAGGAUUCCCUGCAGUCUGCUCAAUAUGAAGCGCUUGUGCGUCAGAUGGGACCUCUGGGACAGACGUUUCGCCACUUUUUUAUCCCCAGCCUCAAGAUCGGAACGUUGGACUCUCUCAUGGAGGCAAGCGAUGAGUUAGCGAAACUGGAUCCAAUGAUGGAAAAUACUCUGCAGAAGCUGAUUGGGCUGAUGGAGGAAACGUCCGGAAAGCCGCGCAGUGUAGUCACGACGUUCCGAAUCAACCAAACUCAGGAAAUGUCGUCCGCUGGCUACAUCAAGAACUUCCUGUGGAGCACUGCGCAGUUCGACCCCAAGGAGACAAUUCAGAACCUAAUAGAGAAAUUUUCCCGAAUCAACGCUACAGCUGAUGAGCGUGUCCGUGUCAUGCUGGCGGAGUACAAUGAAACUCGCAACAAACUCAUAGCGGCGAACCGGAAGGGUGAGGGAAACCUGUCCAUCCGCCCAAUUCGGGAGCUAGUCGCUCUCUAUAAUCGGGACUAUCAGUGCUUUGUCGACACGGAGUUGUUGGCCACCGUUUUCGUAGCGGUACCUGUGGCGGCUCAAAAGGAAUGGAUGGCGACUUACUGGAAGAUGAACGAGUAUGUGUGCCCGCAGUCGAACCGUGUUGUGGCCGAAGACAAGGAAUACGUGCUCAACAGCAUUGUUAUGUUCCGGAAAGUCAUGGAUGAUGUAAAGACGGCGUGCCGAAAGAAGCGUUAUGUUAUCCGCGAAGUGGAGGGCACCGACGACCUUUCUUCCGCCGAGUUGCGGAGCCUGCAGCAGAGGGCUGAAAAGGAGAAGAAGGCGCUUUACACGCUUCUGUGGCAGCAGUAUUGCACCUGUUAUGUUGCCUGGAUCCACCUCAAGGCGGUGAGGGUGUUUAUCGAGGCGCUUCUGAAGUUCGGACUCCCGCCGCGUUUCAUUGCUGUGGUGCUGCAGGUGCCUGCGGAUAAGGAGGCCGAAAUCCGCAAGCGCAUUGCGCAGGUGUACCCCGAUUUGACGACGCCGUUGGCGAAUGAUGUGACUGUUGAUACUGGUGCUUUACAGCAGGAGUAUCCCUAUGUUUCCUUGAAAGUGACGAACGUGCAAAAGUAGUGGUAGGGGUAGUUGUAGGGUUGUUUGCUCUGUUUUUAAAGUCAUGCCUUUUCACUUAUUAUCGAUCUUUGCAUCCGCAGGUAUGAGGUCAGCGUUGCGGAACGAGUUUGCUGAACGAAGGGAAGCGAAAGAGUUUGAGGAGGGAAAGGGCAAUCAACAACAACAAAAGGCAAACCCGCAUUACUUUCACAGCUAUAGAAGGCUUGUGUCUGCAAACAAAAAGGAGUUUUUAGCACCUCAUUUCUAGUGGUUCCCACAGUAGCGUUUGCUCUGCUACACAGCCGGAAUUGCACCUAAACAGAUUGGGAGCAGCAGUGAGACUGGAUAGCAGAGCCUCACGGCGAUAAAGCUCGAGGAGCGAUUAAUAGUAAUAAUAUCACAAUGAUUUGUGCCACAAAGCACCUACUUCCAAUGCCGAGAAACAACGUCUCACCUCCUUGUCCAUGCGUUUUCUUUUUUUGUUCCCUUUUUGCCCAGUCUAG